UUCGUCUGUAGCUUGAAGAGGAUGAGAACCUCCGAAGGAGGUUUGAGCCGAGCGUAGCGAGACCACGUUGCGCAGCAACGCCCGAAGGGGGCGCAUCUUUGAUGCGCAUAAUCCUCUCUCGCCGACCA
Molecule: small RNA, 128 nt
Filed under: Serratia rubidaea
Lineage: Bacteria; Pseudomonadati; Pseudomonadota; Gammaproteobacteria; Enterobacterales; Yersiniaceae
Description: RtT sRNA
Rfam family: RtT RNA
About the family: This family represents a bacterial cis-regulatory element known as RtT RNA.
Source: RNAcentral